UGGAGGUAUCAGAAGUGCGAAUGCUGACAUAAGUAACGAUAAAGCGGGUGAAAAGCCCGCUCGCCGGAAGACCAAGGGUUCCUGUCCAACGUUAAUCGGGGCAGGGUGAGUCGACCCCUAAGGCGAGGCCGAAAGGCGUAGUCGAUGGGAAACAGGUUAAUAUUCCUGUACUUGGUGUUACUGCGAAGGGGGGACGGAGAAGGCUAUGUUAGCCGGGCGACGGUUGUCCCGGUUUAAGCAUGUAGGCUGRUUAUCCAGGCAAAUCCGGAUAAUCAAGGCUGAGGUGUGAUGACGAGGCACUACGGUGCUGAAGUAACAAAUGCCCUGCUUCCAGGAAAAGCCUCUAAGCAUCAGGUAACAUCAAAUCGUACCCCAAACCGACACAGGUGGUCAGGUAGAGAAUACCAAGGCGCUUGAGAGAACUCGGGUGAAGGAACUAGGCAAAAUGGUGCCGUAACUUCGGGAGAAGGCACGCUGGUGUGUAGGUGAAGCCCCUGCGGGU
Molecule: ribosomal RNA, 502 nt
Filed under: Klebsiella pneumoniae
Lineage: Bacteria; Pseudomonadati; Pseudomonadota; Gammaproteobacteria; Enterobacterales; Enterobacteriaceae
Description: partial 23S ribosomal RNA
Rfam family: Bacterial large subunit ribosomal RNA
Source: RNAcentral